RNAcentral lists this ribosomal RNA (278 nucleotides) under Mesorhizobium sp. M2D.F.Ca.ET.153.01.1.1. RNAcentral's name for it is "partial 23S ribosomal RNA". It matches the Rfam family "Bacterial large subunit ribosomal RNA", at positions 900 to 1176 of the family's 2925-position model. Lineage: Bacteria; Pseudomonadati; Pseudomonadota; Alphaproteobacteria; Hyphomicrobiales; Phyllobacteriaceae. The record is from RNAcentral.
GGGUAGAGCACUGUUAUGGCUAGGGGGUCAUCGCGACUUACCAAACCAUUGCAAACUCCGAAUACCGAGACGGACUGUAUGGGAGACACACGGCGGGUGCUAACGUCCGUCGUGAAAAGGGAAACAACCCAGACCCACAGCUAAGGUCCCAAAUUUUGUGCUAAGUGGAAAACCAUGUGGAAAGGCACAGACAGCCAGGAGGUUGGCUUAGAAGCAGCCACCCUUUAAAGAAAGCGUAAUAGCUCACUGGUCGAGUCGGUCUGCGGGGAAGAUUUAAC